UGGGGGAUAUUGCACAAUGGAGGAAACUCUGAUGCAGCGACGCCGCGUGAGGGAAGACGGUCUUCGGAUUGUAAACCUCUGUCUUUGGGGAAAAAGAUGAUGGUACCCAAAGAGGAAGCUCCGGCUAACUACGUGCCAGCAGCCGCGGUAAUACGUAGGGAGCGAGCGUUGUCCGGAAUUACUGGGUGUAAAGGGAGCGUAGGCGGGAGCGCAAGUUGGAUGUUUAAACUAUCGGCUCAACCGGUAACUGCAUCCAAAACUGCGUUUCUUGAGUGAAGUAGAGGCAGGCGGAAUUCCUAGUGUAGCGGUGAAAUGCGUAGAUAUUAGGAGGAACACCAGUGGCGAAGGCGGCCUGCUGGGCUUUUACUGACGCUGAGGCUCGAAAGCGUGGGGAGCAAACAGG
RNAcentral lists this ribosomal RNA (403 nucleotides) under uncultured prokaryote. RNAcentral's name for it is "bacterial SSU rRNA". It matches the Rfam family "Bacterial small subunit ribosomal RNA", at positions 355 to 776 of the family's 1533-position model. RNAcentral also lists the same sequence under 1 other name. The record is from RNAcentral.